RNAcentral lists this ribosomal RNA (497 nucleotides) under uncultured bacterium. Its description in RNAcentral is "partial 16S ribosomal RNA". It matches the Rfam family "Bacterial small subunit ribosomal RNA", at positions 28 to 507 of the family's 1533-position model. The record is from RNAcentral.
GAUGAACGCUGGCGGCGUGCCUAAUACAUGCAAGUCGAGCGAACGGACGAGAAGCUUGCUUCUCUGAUGUUAGCGGCGGACGGGUGAGUAACACGUGGAUAACCUACCUAUAAGACUGGGAUAACUUCGUGAAACCGGAGCUAAUACCGGAUAAUAUUUUGAACCUCAUGGUUCAAAAGUGAAAGACGGUCUUGCUGUCACUUAUAGAUGGAUCCGCGCUGCAUUAGCUAGUUGGUAAGGUAACGGCUUACCAAGGCAACGAUGCAUAGCCGACCUGAGAGGGUGAUCGGCAACACUGGAACUGAGACACGGUCCAGACUCCUACGGGAGGCAGCAGUAGGGAAUCUUCCGCAAUGGGCGAAAGCCUGACGGAGCAACGCCGCGUGAGUGAUGAAGGUCUUCGGAUCGUAAAACUCUGUUAUUAGGGAAGAACAUAUGUGUAAGUAACUGUGCACAUCUUGACGGUACCUAAUCAGAAAGCCACGGCUAACUACGUG